UAGUCCUGUAGCUCAGUUGGGAGAGCGCCUCUCUUACAAAGAGGAUGCCACGGGUUCAAAUCCUGCCAGGACUAU
Molecule: transfer RNA, 75 nt
Filed under: Microseira wollei NIES-4236
Lineage: Bacteria; Bacillati; Cyanobacteriota; Cyanophyceae; Aerosakkonematales; Aerosakkonemataceae
Description: tRNA-Val
Rfam family: tRNA
About the family: Transfer RNA (tRNA) molecules are approximately 80 nucleotides in length. Their secondary structure includes four short double-helical elements and three loops (D, anti-codon, and T loops). Further hydrogen bonds mediate the characteristic L-shaped molecular structure. tRNAs have two regions of fundamental functional importance: the anti-codon, which is responsible for specific mRNA codon recognition, and the 3' end, to which the tRNAs corresponding amino acid is attached (by aminoacyl-tRNA synthetases). tRNAs cope with the degeneracy of the genetic code in two manners: having more than one tRNA (with a specific anti-codon) for a particular amino acid; and 'wobble' base-pairing, i.e. permitting non-standard base-pairing at the 3rd anti-codon position.
Source: RNAcentral